This 253-nucleotide ribosomal RNA is filed under the name uncultured bacterium. RNAcentral's name for it is "partial 16S ribosomal RNA". It matches the Rfam family "Bacterial small subunit ribosomal RNA", at positions 524 to 776 of the family's 1533-position model. The record is from RNAcentral.
UACAGAGACCUCAAGCGUUAUCCGGAUUUAUUGGGCGUAAAGAGCGAGCAGAAGGUUUGGCGCGUCUGUUGUUAAAGCCCACCGCUCAACGGUGGAAUCGCAAUGGAUACGGCCGAACUAGAGGGCACCAGAGGCUGAUGGAACGCACAGUGUAGGGGUGAAAUCCGUUGAUAUUGUGCGGAACACCAAAGGCGAAGGCAUUCAGCUGGGGUGUCCCUGACUUUCAUUCGCGAAAGCGUGGGGAGCAAAAAGG